RNAcentral lists this long non-coding RNA (1686 nucleotides) under Homo sapiens (human). Its description in RNAcentral is "HSALNT0307942". Lineage: Eukaryota; Metazoa; Chordata; Mammalia; Primates; Hominidae. The record is from RNAcentral.
AACCGGAUGAUGGCAGAAACCAAGGGAGGGCAGGCAGAGCGGAAACGAGCCAGGAAAAGCGACAAGUCAGGAAGACCCUCGGCUCCUAUCCCGCCCCACCGCAGGGCCCCACACAGCCUGAGCCCGGGCCCCGAAAGGAACGAGGCCUCCUGCGCCUCGCGGAGACACUCACUUUUCACCUGAGGCCACCAGCUCUUUGCCCUCGCUGUUGCCAAACGCGUCCGUCUCCCCGGGGCCGUCCUUGGGGCCGGGCGCCGCCGGGGCAGCGGGUGGCGACACCCCGGGCUGCGGAUGCGUGCUCCCCUUGCCCAGCUCCUGCAAGAUCUCCGAAGGAGAGCUGGACAGGCCCCGCGCGAGGGGCUCCGCCGGCCAGCCGCCCCCGCCCCACCACGGGUGGAGUCGCGCGGCGGCAGCCGGGCCCGCGGCCGGCCGUCCCCCGCCUCGGGGACGCCGGCACAGGGUGACCAAGGGCUGUGCCCGCCGCAGAGUCGCGCUCACGCCGGCGGGCGACCGCAGGAGCAGGUCCCGCAGCAUCCCCGAGCCUCGCAGCCGCAUCAUGCCGCCGGGUCCGUCAGCGCCCGCUCAACAGGGGAGGAUGCUCCGGGCGUGGGCGGCCGGUUUCCUCGGGGAACGCGGUCUGUGGUGGGGCGGUGAGAUGACAGAAGAGGAAAGGGCAGCUACUUGGGUGUGGUUCCGGCUCGGACUCCCGCAGCGGAUGCGGGUGCUGCUGCUGCUGCUGCUGCUGCUGCUGCUGCUGCUGCUGCUGCUGCGCGCUAGGAUUGCCGCGACCGGUUCUCUUCGCUCCGCCUAAGGCUCCGCACUGAGGCUAAAGCGCAGGGGAGGGCUAGAGACCUUCAGCGCUCGCCGACGGCCCGCCCCUUUCGCCCGCUGCGAUUGGCUCAAAUCCUCGACCUCUCUUUUGAUUGGCGAUUAGGGCAGUCAAAUUUCUCUCGGCUCUGGGUGCGCGGAGAGUAGGGCGGGGGAUUGGUGGGGGGCGGGGAGAGGAGUCAAACUGACGUGUGAAGCGGGUGAGCCAGGCCCGGCUGCUCAGUAGCCACUUUCUGCACGCCGUGCCAACUCCGAGGCUAGCCUAGUUGGGUACUAGGGGCUCUGGGUUCUCGCAUUUAUGAAGCAGUGGGCUCCUCCACUCUGGGAAUUCGAGCUGUUGGGGAGACUCAUGGGCGAGAUCCCCCGCAGCCGAGGGCAGUGAGGUCAGCAGGUUUGGCAGGGCUGAGUCUGGCCGAGCUGUCGGAACUCAGCCGAUCCCAGCUCGCAUCUGGCCCCCAGGUCAGGGCGUCUGGCGACUCCUCCGAGAGCAGCCCCGGACAAGCUUCAUCCCUCUCCCAAAUGUAACAUUUGCUUGAAACUUUCCAUGAUUGGCUACUACCCAGACGUGAAGUGUUUUGGAAAAAAUGAGCAAAAUCCUUUCAGCUAUGCGACUUAAGCCAUGGGAGGGUGGAGGUGGAGGGAGGGCGACGAGUGGCGAGGCGGGGUGGGGGGGUUGCGGAAUCCAGAAUACGACAGCUUUCUUUUUUAAAAAUUAUUUUUUUUAAAUGUACACCGAUACUUCAAAAAUAGUUUUGAAUAGCAAUGAUUCCGUUAACGCUAUUUGCUUGAAAGCAAAACUGUAGAUACUUUUCUAUUUUAAAAACUGCUUCACUGUUUUAAAAUAGAAGCGUUGGAAUA